RNA transcript from Rhododendron vialii, 4850 nucleotides. RefSeq lists it as uncharacterized. The transcript is spliced from 3 exons. The record is from RefSeq and is a predicted model, not a curated record. Lineage: Eukaryota; Viridiplantae; Streptophyta; Magnoliopsida; Ericales; Ericaceae.
AAGAGAAGGCAACUCUGCAUCUCAUCCACAACUUUUGACUUGUUUUUGAAAUAUUUCAUCAAAGUAGUACUUGUAAUUAUUCGAUUGAGUUUAUUUUACAUGAUCACUUUUAAUACUCGUUAAUAUACUAUUCGGAUUAUUUGUGUUUUUAGAUUAGGCCCACUUACCCAUUGGAAUUUAUUAUUUUCCUUUUAGGCCCUGUAUCUUCCCCCUGUUCAUAGCACCGUAUUCACGCCAACCGCAUCCCCUAACCCGCCCGCAAGAGAGAGAGAGAGAGAGAGAGAGAGAGAGAGAUCUGUGGGGUCCUGGGGAGAUUAGUAGGUAAUUUGGGAAUUGAAAGAAAAAGUGGGGGAUUGAUCGAUUUUCUGUGGGGAGAGAGUAAAAGGGAAAUUUUUGGGGAUUCCAUAGAUCGAUCUGUGGGGAGAUUUGGGGGAAAUUGGGGAAUUGAAGAAAGAGAGGGGAUUGAUCGAUUUUCUGUGGGGAGAGAGUAAAAGGGAAUUUUUUGGGGAUUCCAUAGAUCGAUAUGUGUGGAGAGUAGGAGGAAAUUGGGGAAUUGAAGAAUGAGAGGGGAUUUAUUGAUUUCGGAAUUGAAGAAAGAGAGGGGAUUGAUCGAUUUUCUGUGGGGAGAGAGUAAAAAGGGAAUUUUUUUGGGGGGAUUCCAGAAAUCGAUCUUUGGGGAGAUUGGAAGGAAAUUUGGGAAUUGAUUGAUUUUCUGUAGGGAGAGAGUAGAAAGGGAAACUUUUGGGGAUUCGAGAGUUCAAUCUCUGGGGAAAUUUGGGAAUUGAAGAAAGACGGGAUUCCGAUUGAUCUUCUGAAUUUUUGGGGGAUUCCAGAAAGAGAGGGCAAUCGAUCUUUCUUCCGUGGGGAGACUAUAGAAGAAGUUUUGGGAGUAGAGAAAGAGUGGGAAAUCGACCGAUCAAGAUCCAGAUCCAGAUUAACUCUCUGUUUCCCCGUUCACCAUCUGGUCACUGCCCAAAAUCAGAUUUUUUUCCCCGGGUAGACUGUUGUAAACAUUUGUUCGAUUCACAAGGACUGCCGGAGCCACUACCGGGAGCUUCUGAAGUGUUACAGGAAAAAAAGGUCAAUGGCUUUUGUCUAUUUCUUGAAAUUGCCCGAUUCAAGUUGCAUUUGUGGUUGAGAUCAUCCUCGAGGAGCUGAGUUUUGUUUACUAUGUGUAAGUAAGACUUUAGUUGUUUAUACAGCUGCGAUUUUUGCAUACACCCUACAUCGCUGGAGCUGAUAUUCUUCACUUUGGCGUGAUUCAAGUUUGAUUUACGUGGAGUAAGAUUUAAGGUUUUAACCCAUGAUUUUCCUGCCCUUUAGACAUGACGAACUGGCAAUUGAGGAACUGCAGUCCUAGCUCUUUUGGUUUGAUUUGUCAAGUAAUGAUUGGGAUUUUGCUCAAAGGGUCAGGUCAUAGAGUUUGAGAUGGCUCUCCCCUACCACUCAAUUGAUAAGUUACUCCUAUAUGUUUUACUGUUUUUUCCUUCUGUGUUUUUUGGUUUCGAGUUGUUUCUUUUUCUUCUUUCUUACGUUUGUGUGAUUGAAUUACAAGGAUUGAACUGAUUUGUUCUUAAAGUAGUUUUAUCCAACAGCUUUAGAGAUCUAUUUUGUUGUUUCUCAGUUUUAUGUUCUUCUCUCUUUCUACUUAUUAGAUCAAUUAGUGAAUAUUUGGCUCUAAGGUCUGUUUCUGAUUUUCUUUCAGUAUCUCCUUUUAAUCUGGUGCAGAUCUCGGCCGUGAGAAAGCUCUUCGGGAUCAUGAGGUAAUUAAUUUGUACAUGUCUUUCAUUCAUUUCUUUGAGAGGUUUUAUUUCUAUUAUUUUUAGUUUGCUUUUGUUUCUUUUACUGUAGUGCUAUCACCGGAAUUUACUGUGUCUUUUUUUUUCGAAAUAAUUUCUCUAUUAGUUUAUUUAGACCAAAACAACAUGGCCCGAUUACCCAAAAGUACGGGAGUGCCUUGUGCAUGUUCCCUACUUUCAUUUUUCAAUUGAAUCAGUUUUUUUCCUAAUCUCCUAAUGCUUCACAUCAUUAGCAAUACAUCUAGUGAUGCAAAAUGGAAAAAUCUUUGGACACCAUUGAACAUAACUUUCUGAAGAUGUGGAUGAGAAAGCUGGGGCCCAUUCAAAUCGAGUGCCAUAUUGACUUAUCCAAAUGAUCAUUGCUUUAUUGACUAUCAAAAUGAUCAUUGCCAUAUUGACUUGUUCUUUUUUCUUUUUCUUUUUCUUUUUUUGAUGGGGAAUGCUUUUGGUUUAACUUGUUGAGCUAAAUUGCUACCAAAUUUUAGAUAUAUCUAAGCAAGAAUAUAGUCUGUUUACCUCCAAUGAAGCACCAACACACCUAGGAAGUCGCCGUAUCCAUGCCGUACGCGCCAGGCACGUCCAAAAAAUACAUAUGUAUACACGGCAAGUCCUAGUCCUUUGAUUUGUUGAUUUCUUUUCGUCCUAAUGCUUUGAUUUUUUUUUUGUCAUUGGUUGUAUAACUCUAGCAAUUUUUAUAUUGCAAAUUUUAUGCCAUCCAAUGAAAUGAAGAGUUGCUAUGUUCUUGAUUUUACUUUUGUAGAUGUGAGUCAUAUGAUGUUCGGCACAACUAUAUCACGGUCAUUUUGUUUUUGUGCAGUUUGCAUUGGGGUAGAGAUUCUGCCGGUCUAAUUGCUAUUUUUGAUAGGACCUUUAGAACCUUCAUAGUACACAUGCUUCAUAGUAUGAAUCCAGGAGUUCUUGUUUAUUUUUUCACAUAAUCUCACUCGCUGAACCGGAUUUGGCCGGUGUAAAGAUUAAUUUUAAAGCAUCACCUUUUACCCGGAUGGAUUGCUGGUGAUUAGUAUUAAUCAAAGACGGAGCUUGGACUUAUAAAGAGGGGAGGCUGAAACUUAGAAUCGAGAAUUACACAUAUUCACAUGGUUGUUGAAUUUUUAAGUUUUCCUCACAUUUGUAAUUCAGGCAUGCAAUCUAAGAAAUAAUGUUUUUCAAGAAAAAUAUAGCCACUUUCUACUUAUAAUAAUUAGCAAAACAUACAUAUACAAAUAAGAGGGAGUAGUUAUUUUCUACUUAUAAUAAUUAGCAAAACAUACAUGUACAAAUAAGGGGAGUAGUUAUUUUCCACUACGUAACCACUUUUAGUUUAUUUCUUCAAAGUUUAGAGGGCCGAUAUAGUACAUUUUAAAUAUUUUUUUACAUUUUAUACUAUACUGGUGUGAUUCUAGCAAGGUUGGGGGAGGCCCGGGCCUCGCCACCAUUGCACUUACCUCCAUCCCUGGUAGUAAUUGGAUUCAUGUUGUAUUCAUAACUGGAACCUCACCCUUGUCAUAUGUACGAUUAUUGUAGUAGAACAACCUAACUUCUUGUGUAUCAUAUUUGGAAUGCAGGAUGACCAGGUUUGUAUAUCCAUCUAGACCCCACUAGGCUGGAAGGACUUGACUGCGUCAAUUGAUCCAAACCAAAUUUCACGGACCAUAACUCAAGCCCAUACCAACCUUUGAGUCGUAGACCAAUGAACUUUCAUGUGCAAAUCCUCUAUGACUCUGUGUUUACAUGAUAUGUGCACAGUGCACUCUUAUACAAGUGGUAUUUGCCUUAGAUUACUUAUCAAAAAAAUGUUAUUUGCGUUUGUUGGCAGAAUAGGCAAUUGAUUCAAAGAUUCCCCUGCUUGGAACAAAUAGGUGAGUCAUGCCCUGCACUUCUCAGUAAUUGUUUUGUAGAAUGUCAGAAAGCCUAAUAAAUUGCUAACUACAAAAUCAACAACAUCCCCCCCCCCCGUCUCUCUCUCUCUCUCACGUACAACCUACUAAGGCCCUAAGCCUUUCUAUAAAACUUUUCUUCAAUGAUAUCUUCUCUGCGAGGUGGUCCAAGACUCUGGCGACGUCAGUUGUUGUUGGGCGACUUGUAUGGGAGCUCUGCACACAGUCCUUAGCCAAGGAUGCCAACUCCUUGGCUUCUGGGUUUUUCAAACCAGUUUUCAGCCACCUUUUUUGGAUCAUCUUUUCAGGUUGAGGGUGCCUGUUGAACUUGUACUUAACUCCUCCACCUCGAGCCUUUGUGGCUGUUAUGACACUCAUUAUGAAUACCCCAAGCAUAUGUAUGUCUCUCUCAGGGCAUGCAGAAUCUGUAGAAUACAAUCAGAAUUAAAACAGGAAUUCAGCAUUAACAUUCAAAAUUCAUACAAAGUAAAAAUUAUUAUCAGUAGACAUAGUUAAAUUCAUCACUCUAUAAAAUGGCAAGGCAAUAACUAGACAUAGUUAAAUUCUACUAGCCAAUGAUAGCGGAUGAAUUCCUCAUUAUCUUUAUAUGAUCUUACUCAUCAAUACAAUCCUCUUAACCUCAGUUUAUUUGGAAUUCAAGGUUAAUUAGUAACUGUACAUGCAUUCUGACAUUUUCCUUCACUUUAGGUGUUCAACAUGUCAGCAGUAGGGCCUUCAUCUGCCAACCAAAGACAGUAGGGUAACCGGUGUUUCAAAGGUAAAUUUCUUUGGCACGUUUGAACGAGCAAUUACAAAUAAACUAAAGACUCAACAGGCGAGGAAAUCUAUGUAGAUCUGUUACCUAUAGUAUAAUCAUCUGCUUGUCUAUUUUUCGCUCUCGUAGGAGUAAAGUAUCUCUUCUCCUUGCCAGCACUUCCGAUAUUCUAGAAGUCCUUUUACUCGAGUAUGUUAUUGUUAAAUCUAUUCCUUCCGUUAAGUCAGUUGUCCUACAUUCACUUGUAUCCCUCGUGGGUACGACACACCCAAUCUGUGCUAGACUCAGCCUUCUGUACUUUUAUUCUUAUGAAUUUGAUCAUCUUAAUGAUCUUUACAAAACCACAGUAUUUAAACUUUUUUUUUUAAUCAUAACCACAGUAUUUAAACUGAUCUUUGC